Equus asinus (donkey) is the source of this 86-nucleotide small nucleolar RNA. Ensembl annotates it as small nucleolar RNA, C/D box 11B. Lineage: Eukaryota; Metazoa; Chordata; Mammalia; Perissodactyla; Equidae. The record is from Ensembl.
UGAUGGCAGUGAUGAUUUUUCAACUUAUUGUUCACCUGAUAAACAAACAUGAAGGUGUUCAGUCACUACCUCAUCUGAUGCCAUCU